ACCUGACUGCUAUCGGAUUGAUACUAAGCCAUGCGAGUCAUUGUAGCAAUACAAGGCAUACGGCUCAGUAACGCGUAGUCAACCUAACCUAUGGACGGGAAUAACCUCGGGAAACUGAGAAUAAUGCCCGAUAGAACACUAUACCUGGAAUGGUUUGUGUUCCAAAUGAUUUAUCGCCAUAGGAUGGGACUGCGGCCUAUCAGUUUGUUGGUGAGGUAAUGGCCCACCAAGACUAUUACAGGUACGGGCUCUGAGAGGAGUAGCCCGGAGAUGGGUACUGAGACACGGACCCAGGCCCUAUGGGGCGCAGCAGGCGAGAAAACUUUGCAAUGUGCGAAAGCACGACAAGGUUAAUCCGAGUGAUUUGUGCUAAACGAAUCUUUUGUUAGUCCUAGAAACACUAACGAAUAAGGGGUGGGCAAGUUCUGGUGUCAGCCGCCGCGGUAAAACCAGCACCUCAAGUGGUCAGGAUGAUUAUUGGGCCUAAAGCAUCCGUAGCCGGCUCUGUAAGUUUUCGGUUAAAUCUGUACGCUUAACGUACAGGCUGCCGGGAAUACUGCAGAGCUAGGGAGUGGGAGAGGUAGACGGUACUCGGUAGGAAGUGGUAAAAUGCUUUGAUCUAUCGAUGACCACCUGUGGCGAAAGCGGUCUACCAGAACACGUCCGACGGUGAGGGAUGAAAGCUGGGGGAGCAAACCGGAUUAGAUACCCGGGUAGUCCCGGCUGUAAACUAUGCAAACUCAGUGAUGCAUUGGCUUGUGGCCAAUGCAGUGCUGCAGGGAAGCCGUUAAGUCUGCCGCCUGGGAAGUACGUACGCAAGUAUGAAACUUAAAGGAAUUGGCGGGGGAGCACCACAAGGGGUGAAGCCUGCGGUUC
RNAcentral lists this ribosomal RNA (876 nucleotides) under uncultured crenarchaeote. RNAcentral's name for it is "bacterial SSU rRNA". It matches the Rfam family "Archaeal small subunit ribosomal RNA", at positions 21 to 903 of the family's 1478-position model. Lineage: Archaea; Thermoproteati; Thermoproteota. The record is from RNAcentral.